CACGCCGGGACUUGUAGUUCGUGGCUGCUUCCCACUCCUAGCUCUCUGCGGCGCGCGGACUCCAACCCCCAGGCACCUGCGAGGCCAGGCCAGCGAUUUUAGGGGUCCCGGGCGCCCCGAGGCCGCCGCCUAGACCAGACUCAGGAGAAAAGUCAGAAAUGUGUCUAGCUUGGCCAGAUGUUCAAUCGCCAAUGUCCAGUUCAGCAUGUGGCACACAGUGUUUGUGAAAUGACUCUUCCUGACAGCUGCCCCAACCUCUGUGCUUUCGCUCAGUCUCAGGCUUCCUGCGAAGGAGACACCCCCAUGCUAAUGGCACCCUUGAACCUCAGAAGUCAGCCUUGGUCGGGCUGGAGUCGCCUUAACCCAACUCCACCAGGCGAGGGCGCCCUGCACCCAGCUUUGGCUUCAGCUUGAGGCAACCCCUUCUCAGUCCUGCAGAGUGCAGUUUGGACAACCGGGAACAUUCAACCUGACUGCCUGAAGAAGUGAAGACCCACGCAUGGACCUGGAGGAACAAGAAGAAGGAAGUGAGCCCGGGGAGUGUCCUCUGAGGCGAAAAUGAGAAAAGCUGUCAAAUGGGGAAAGGCUAACAGAAGGCUGCAGAGAAGGAUCCUGAGAGGACUUUUCAGAAGACCUGGGUCCUGAAAUUCAAACAUCGACAGUCUCAUAAAUCCGGGCAUCCAGGAAGAUGCUCACAGCCUCCCCACAAGUGGCCAGAGCUAGGAUCAUACAUUGUACGGAAGACAAAACUGCCAUCUGAGCAUGCCUGUGUACUUCUCUUUCUUGGCUGUGCUAGGGAUGGAAUACAGGGCUUGGCAAAUGCUAGCCCAGAUAAGCAAAAUGAUCCUGAUUGACCCCUGCUCCCUCUUCGCAUCCGAACACCAGCUCUCUUCAGCUCCAUGCUAUUCAGUGACUUUUCUCCUGCCCUACCUCGCCUUGCCUCCUCUUCAUUCACUGCAGACCGGCUCCUGCCCUGUGCUUCUCCCUCCUAAGCCCUCCCAUCCCCUUGGACAAUUGUCAUUUCAUGAAGUUGACCAUACCCUACUUUGGCCUCCUGACUCCUCACCUCCUGACUAUCCGUGACCUUCACCGCCACUUCCUAUCAGCUUCUGUACUCGGUGGCCACACCUUAGACCUUACCCUUCACUGGCACGAGUCACAAGUUUGCUACUAAUUGCCUAAAGUCCAACUAUAGAAGGGCUCAGCCACGGAAGGAUGUUAUUAUCCCUAAUUUACAAGAAUCCGUACUUGGUGGGCUCCAGGAACAUUAAUUUAGUGACAGGUCUGUACCUUCAACAUCUACCCAGGUUCUUCUUUCUCCCUAUUCUGCCACCCUCAGGCAUUAUCUGGGUCAUCAGACUAGCUUCUCACAUGCUCAGCAGAUGGCUACUGAAACUGAAAUAUCCCAUCUUUAGGACAGUGUCCAGAGGCAGAAGCAAGGGCCUUAUCUUCCUUUUGCCACUUUGUAACAAAGAAGGGAAAUCUCCAAGCCAGCAUAUAGGUAGACAAGAGUUCAAGGCCAUUCUUGGCUCUAUAUCUAGUUCCAGAACAGCCUGGACUACAAG
Peromyscus maniculatus bairdii (prairie deer mouse) is the source of this 1565-nucleotide non-coding RNA. Lineage: Eukaryota; Metazoa; Chordata; Mammalia; Rodentia; Cricetidae. The record is from RefSeq and is a predicted model, not a curated record.